Condylura cristata (star-nosed mole) is the source of this 519-nucleotide long non-coding RNA. RefSeq lists it as uncharacterized. NCBI's taxonomy places the organism in Eukaryota, Metazoa, Chordata, Mammalia, Eulipotyphla, Talpidae. The record is from RefSeq and is a predicted model, not a curated record. The transcript is spliced from 3 exons.
AGGUCCUUCCUCUGAGCUCUCCAGCACAGAACAUUCCCUAAGGGGCCUUACUUCACAGUCUUUUGCAAGUAGAUUGAAGUAAUGAGUCAGCAAGCUCAAAAGACAAGCCGCUGGACUGAGGGAGAAAAGACUGAAAUCGAUGCAUCCAUACACGUUGGAGACAAAGCACACCUGCAAAUUCCUGAAAUUGAUGCAACCUGUCUGUAAAAACUCAGCAAAGAGCAACUCAAAGAUAAGGCGGUGGGAACAAAAAUACCUCAUUUUUAACCUUGACCCCUGUGCCAACUCACCAGUAACAUCACAAUGGUAGAGCUUGACAAAGCACAACCAAAGGAGGGGAAGAGAAUGGUGAAAAGAGAGGAGGUAGAAACAGAGUCUGAGGACCAUGGCUUUAUUUCAGGAAUGCUCUCCUUGAAAUUCUCCUCUGAGACAUAAGGACAAGGCAACACAUCCCAAAGAAGAACAUGUCUGGCCCUCGCUGGUGGCACAGCGGGUUAAAGCACAGCACUACAAGCUGGC